AUUGAACGCUGGCGGCAGGCCUAACACAUGCAAGUCGAGCGGAUGAAGGGAGCUUGCUCCUGGAUUCAGCGGCGGACGGGUGAGUAAUGCCUAGGAAUCUGCCUGGUAGUGGGGGAUAACGUCCGGAAACGGGCGCUAAUACCGCAUACGUCCUGAGGGAGAAAGUGGGGGAUCUUCGGACCUCACGCUAUCAGAUGAGCCUAGUUCGGAUUAGCUAGUUGGUGGGGUAAAGGCCUACCAAGGCGACGAUCCGUAACUGGUCUGAGAGGAUGAUCAGUCACACUGGAACUGAGACACGGUCCAGACUCCUACGGGAGGCAGCAGUGGGGAAUAUUGGACAAAGGGCGAAAGCCUGAUCCAGCCAUGCCGCGUGUGUGAAGAAGGUCUUCGGAUUGUAAAGCACUUUAAGUUGGGAGGAAGGGCAGUAAGUUAAUACCUUGCUGUUUUGACGUUACCAACAGAAUAAGCACCGGCUAACUUCGUG
Molecule: ribosomal RNA, 484 nt
Filed under: uncultured bacterium
Lineage: Bacteria
Description: partial 16S ribosomal RNA
Rfam family: Bacterial small subunit ribosomal RNA
Source: RNAcentral